AGCUUUUCGAAUCCGUGCUGAUAUUUCGUCACACAUCAACCCAUUUGAGCUGAUCAAACUUCCAAGAUAAGUGAAGUU
RNAcentral lists this microRNA precursor (78 nucleotides) under Schistosoma margrebowiei. RNAcentral describes it as "mir-3492 microRNA precursor family". It matches the Rfam family "mir-3492 microRNA precursor family". Lineage: Eukaryota; Metazoa; Platyhelminthes; Trematoda; Strigeidida; Schistosomatidae. The record is from Rfam by way of RNAcentral.